GCAUUUGAUUUUGAAUUUAAAUUAUUGAUUUCUAUUUCUGUUUUUGAUUUUUGAUAUUGGAAAGAGAAGGGAUUGAACAGCCGUGAUGUUGGGAGCUUUAAGGAGAAAAGUUCCGAUUGGAGCUCAUCGGCUUCGGUAUUAGGGAAGUCAUUGCAAGCAAUUCGACCGGGUAUUUCAGCAUCUAGAGCAUCUGCCAAUGCUGGAAAAGAGAUUCUAUUUCUUUAGCCUAGAGGAAUUGACCAUGUCCGUGACUUCUCUCAUUUCAUUCUCCCGGGUUGUUCUGUUGGUUUAACAAAGAUCAGGUUAGUUUGUUCUAAACUUUCUAAUGUACAUAAAUGGUAGAAACUCUACCUUUUGGCAUUUAUC
Long non-coding RNA from Hibiscus syriacus, 366 nucleotides. RefSeq lists it as uncharacterized. The transcript has 4 exons. NCBI's taxonomy places the organism in Eukaryota, Viridiplantae, Streptophyta, Magnoliopsida, Malvales, Malvaceae. The record is from RefSeq and is a predicted model, not a curated record.